Molecule: long non-coding RNA, 588 nt
Organism: Tachysurus fulvidraco (yellow catfish)
Lineage: Eukaryota; Metazoa; Chordata; Actinopteri; Siluriformes; Bagridae
Exons: 3
Source: RefSeq, a predicted model, not a curated record
GCCGGUCUCACCACUGUCCUGUACACCUUCCCCUUGAUUCUCGCUGAUACUUUGAGUAACAAUAAACCGUUACUCAGUCAGAGAGUACAUUUAAUAUUAUAACAGAAAAGAAGAAACUUUUCCAUUCUGUCCAAUUGUGUUUUCUAUGUCAGAAUGAGUUGGGCACUGACACAGCACCUCCUCUAGCGCUGAACAGCAAGACCUGCAGAAAUUGUGAGACAUCGCAAUCAGGACCUUGUACACACAGUGUUGAGCCCAAUAGGACUUCACCACAAGCUUUACACGAGGACCUGCACAUGUUCCAGACCAAAUGAAACCCAGGAGUGGAACCCAGGAGUCAUGUUUGAAGAAGAUGAUUGACAUGCUGCAUCAUACAACAUCAUCUCCUUACAACUGAGACAGAAAUGAAAACAGACAGGAAACUGCUUUCCAUGAGACAGCACAAGUCUUUAUCGUACCAGAUCCCGACGUCCUCUGUGGGACGAAGCCUUUGGACGUCCACUGAGCCGAGGCCGACUGUAAGAAUCCUGAGACAUCUCCAGUUAGACUCUGUGAUUCUAAGGAGAUCCGAAGUCCAUGAUCCUUACA